Molecule: ribosomal RNA, 490 nt
Filed under: uncultured bacterium
Lineage: Bacteria
Description: partial 16S ribosomal RNA
Rfam family: Bacterial small subunit ribosomal RNA
Source: RNAcentral
AGUGAACGCUGGCGGUAGGCCUAACACAUGCAAGUCGAACGGCAGCACAGGAGAGCUUGCUCUCUGGGUGGCGAGUGGCGGACGGGUGAGGAAUACAUCGGAAUCUGCCCAGUCGUGGGGGAUAACGUAGGGAAACUUACGCUAAUACCGCAUACGACCUUCGGGUGAAAGAGGGGGAUCGCAAGACCUCUCGCGAUUGGAUGAGCCGAUGUCGGAUUAGCUAGUUGGCGGGGUAAUGGCCCACCAAGGCGACGAUCCGUAUCUGGUCUGAGAGGAUGAUCAGCCACACUGGAACUGGGCCACGGUCCAGACUCCUACGGGAGGCAGCAGUGGGGAAUAUUGGACAAUGGGCGCAAGCCUGAUCCAGCCAUACCGCGUGGGUGAAGAAGGCCUUCGGGUUGUAAAGCCCUUUUGUUGGGAAAGAAAUCUUUCAGGCUAAUACCCUGGGAGGAUGACGGUACCCAAAGAAUAAGCACCGGCUAACUUCGUG